RNAcentral lists this ribosomal RNA (747 nucleotides) under uncultured bacterium. Its description in RNAcentral is "bacterial SSU rRNA". It matches the Rfam family "Bacterial small subunit ribosomal RNA", at positions 39 to 836 of the family's 1533-position model. The record is from RNAcentral.
GAUGCCGGCGUCUACCAUGCAGUCGACGAACCUUCGGGUUAGUGGCGGACGGGUGAGUAACGCGUGAGAAUCUGCCCUCAGGAGGGGGACAACAGCUGGAAACGGCUGCUAAUACCCCAUAUGCCGUGAGGUGAAAUGAAUUUCGCCUGAGGAUGAGCUCGCGUCUGAUUAGCUAGUUGGUGUAGGUAAUGGCUCACCAAGGCAUCGAUCAGUAGCUGGUCUGAGAGGAUGAUCAGCCACACUGGGACUGAGACACGGCCCAGACUCCUACGGGAGGCAGCAGUCGGGAAUAUUGGACAAUGGAGGAAACUCUGAUCCAGCAAUGCCGCGUGUGUGAUGAAGGCCCUAGGGUUGUAAAGCACUUUCAACGGUGAAGAUGAUGACGGUAGCCGUAGAAGAAGCCCCGGCUAACUUCGUGCCAGCAGCCGCGGUAAUACGAAGGGGGCGAGCGUUAUCCGGAAUCAUUGGGUUUAAAGGGUCCGCAGGCUGUUUUUUAAGUCAGAGGUGAAAUCCUACAGCUCAACUGUAGAACUGCCUUUGAUACUGGCAAACUUGAGUUAUUGUGAAGUAGUUAGAAUGUGUAGUGUAGCGGUGAAAUGCAUAGAUAUUACACAGAAUACCGAUUGCGAAAGCAGAUUACUAACAAUAUACUGACGCUGAGGGACGAAAGCGUGGGUAGCGAACAGGAUUAGAUACCCUGGUAGUCCACGCCGUAAACGAUGGUCACUAGCUGUUCGACGUACAUUG